Molecule: ribosomal RNA, 497 nt
Filed under: uncultured bacterium
Lineage: Bacteria
Description: partial 16S ribosomal RNA
Rfam family: Bacterial small subunit ribosomal RNA
Source: RNAcentral
GAUGAACGCUGGCGGCGUGCCUAACACAUGCAAGUCGAGCGAAAAGACGGGGAGCUCUCUCUCUUGCCGUUUGCGGCGGGCGGGCGAGUAACAAAUGGAUAACCUUCUCCUUAGACUUGGGUAAUCUCGGGAAACCGGAGCCAAUAACCGCUAAUACUAUCUACCGCCUAGUUCAAUAGUUCAAGACGGCUUUGGCGCUCCUUUUAGAUGGUUUCGCGCCGCAUUAGCUAGUUGGUAAGGUAACGGCUUACCAAGGCUACGAUGCGUAGCCGACCUGAGAGGGUGAUCGGCCACACUGGAACUGAGACACGGUCCAGACUCCUACGGGAGGCAGCAGUAGGGAAUCUUCCGCAAUGGGCGAAAGCUUGACGGAGCAACGCCGCGUGAGUGAUGAAGGUCUUCGGAUCGUAAAACUCUGUUAUUAGGGAAGAACAAAUGUGUAAGUAACUAUGCACGUCUUGACGGUACCUAAUCAGAAAGCCACGGCUAACUACGUG